Molecule: ribosomal RNA, 481 nt
Filed under: uncultured bacterium
Lineage: Bacteria
Description: partial 16S ribosomal RNA
Rfam family: Bacterial small subunit ribosomal RNA
Source: RNAcentral
GACGAAUGCUGGCUGCGUGCUUAACACAUGCAAGUCGAACGGUGAAGGGGAGCUUGCUCCCCGGAUCAGUGGCGAACGGGUGAGUAACACGUGGGCAACCUGCCCCUCACUCUGGGAUAACUCCGGGAAACCGGGGCUAAUACCGGAUACGACCGGGAGCGACAUCGCUCCUGGUGGAAAGAACUUCGGUGAGGGAUGGGCCCGCGGCCUAUCAGCUAGUUGGUGGGGUAACGGCCCACCAAGGCGACGACGGGUAGCCGGCCUGAGAGGGCGACCGGCCACACUGGGACUGAGACACGGCCCAGACUCCUACGGGAGGCAGCAGUGGGGAAUAUUGCGCAAUGGGCGAAAGCCUGACGCAGCGACGCAGCGUGAGGGACGAAGGCCUUCGGGUUGUAAACCUCUUUCAGCGGGGACGAAGCGAAAGUGACGGUACCCGCAGAAGAAGCACCGGCUAACUACGUGCCAGCCGCCGCCGUAA